RNAcentral lists this ribosomal RNA (377 nucleotides) under uncultured eukaryote. RNAcentral describes it as "SSU rRNA". It matches the Rfam family "Eukaryotic small subunit ribosomal RNA", at positions 587 to 969 of the family's 1831-position model. The record is from RNAcentral.
AGCUCCAAUAGCGUAUAUUAAAGUUGUUGCAGUUAAAAAGCUCGUAGUUGGAUUUGUGGUUGACGCUUGCGUCUCGGCACUAGUGUCGAGUUCAGUUGAGUGUUGCCAUGUUUGGGUUGAGUUUGUGUGGCAUUAGGUGUCGUGCAGAUGAGGCCUAUCGUUUACUGUGAAAAAAUUAGAGUGUUCAAAGCAGGCUUAUGCCGUUGAAUAUAUUAGCAUGGAAUAAUGAGAUAGGACCUUGGUACUAUUUUGUUGGUUUGCGCACUAAGGUAAUGAUUAAUAGGGUCAGUUGGGGGUAUUCGUAUUCCAUUGUCAGAGGUGAAAUUCUUGGAUUUUUGGAAGACGAACUACUGCGAAAGCAUUUACCAAAGAUGUUU